RNAcentral lists this ribosomal RNA (253 nucleotides) under uncultured bacterium. Its description in RNAcentral is "partial 16S ribosomal RNA". It matches the Rfam family "Bacterial small subunit ribosomal RNA", at positions 524 to 776 of the family's 1533-position model. The record is from RNAcentral.
UACGUAGGGUGCGAGCGUUAAUCGGAAUUACUGGGCGCAAAGCGUGCGCAGGCGGUUUUGUAAGCCAGAUGUGAAAUCCCCGGGCUUAACCUGGGAAUGGCAUUUGGGACUGCAAGGCUGGAGUGUGGCAGAGGAGACUGGAAUUCCUGGUGUAGCAGUGAAAUGCGUAGAUAUCAGGAGGAAUACCGAUGGCGAAGGCAGGUCUCUGGGCUAACACUGACGCUCAUGCACGAAAGCGUGGGGAGCAAACAGG